CGCAGCAAAGGGAGGAAUGCUGCCAAAAUAAGCUUUUCAGCUCGUCGGAGAACACUCUUUUAUUAAAUGUAUGUGCUGCCCACCGGACGUUUUCAAAGGUAACCAGUAGCUUCAGAGGCACCAAGGAAAGUACUAUAAGCAGAGACUCAACAUCUGGGAAGUUUCAGUAUGUAUUGUCUGUAUAAAAAAACAACUUCUGACUAGCUUUAAAGGGAAAAUCCAACAUUUUUCAGAUCAUAAAAGAUGCAGACAAGAGCCUAUGGACUUAAAGCCACGACGAAAAGGAAGGCAACUCCAUGAUUUCCCAAUAAAUGAAAUAAAAAAAAGAAAAGAAAUGGUUAGGUUAAGAAUUAACACAAAGUAGAAAAGGCACUCGUGGAGAAACUAGGAGAGCACAAAGCCUACUAUAAAAAGUUGUUUUUUUUUCAAAAAGAAAAGAAUGAAAGCAAAAGGAAACAAACAUUCCAAUACCAUCUUGUUUUCAGAAGACCUAGAAGACAGUUUCACAGAUUCUCCUCAAUACUUCUGAUCCUAGGAAGGAGGACACACAUUAAGAAGGUGACAAAAACACAACUGACACGUCACAAAUGAAGGAAUCAACACACCUUCCCUCCCUCCCCUCCAACAAAGACAAUCGGUGGGUGAUACUAAGGGGUCACAAGAGAGAGGGUGAGGAUCACUGGGAGUGCCUCUAGAGACUACAGCACUACUGCUCUGAGGAACUGA
This is a long non-coding RNA of Crotalus tigris (Tiger rattlesnake), 726 nucleotides long. RefSeq lists it as uncharacterized. The transcript is spliced from 3 exons. NCBI's taxonomy places the organism in Eukaryota, Metazoa, Chordata, Lepidosauria, Squamata, Viperidae. The record is from RefSeq and is a predicted model, not a curated record.